RNAcentral lists this ribosomal RNA (484 nucleotides) under uncultured bacterium. RNAcentral describes it as "partial 16S ribosomal RNA". It matches the Rfam family "Bacterial small subunit ribosomal RNA", at positions 29 to 523 of the family's 1533-position model. The record is from RNAcentral.
AGUGAACGCUGGCGGCGUGCUUAACACAUGCAAGUCGAACGAGAACGGAUUAUAGCUUGCUAUAAUUGUCAGCUAAGUGGCGCACGGGUGAGUAAUGUAUAGGUAAUAUGCCUUUUACUAAGGAAUAACAAAUGGAAACGUUUGCUAAUACCUUAUACUCCUUAUUAACCUAAGUUAAUAAGGGAAAGAUUUAUUGGUAAGAGAUUAGCCUGUAUUGUAUCAGUUAGUUGGUGGGGUAAUGGCUUACCAAGACUAUAACACAUAACUGGUUUGAGAGGAUGAUCAGUCACACUGGAACUGAGACACGGUCCAGACUCCUACGGGAGGCAGCAGUGGGGAAUAUUGCACAAUGGACGGAAGUCUGAUGCAGCAACGCCGCGUGGAGGAUGACACAUUUCGGUGCGUAAACUCCUUUUAUAUGAGAAGAUAAUGACGGUAUUAUAUGAAUAAGCACCGGCUAACUCCGUGCCAGCAGCCGCUGUAA